UUGGUUAAUUGCAAAUCCAUGGCCAGAAGCCUGGCUUCAAGACAAGAAGCACAUUGAGGAACUGGAAAGGGAGCCAUCAAACUACUUCCCAGAAAUAGGUGAUUAUCCUAGGAUUCAGCAUGUUACCAAGUCAUAUACCUACACCCUUUCAGAAAUUGUCAUUCAUUGCCAUAUAACUCUAUCCAUGUCUGGAAUAACUUUGCAAUAUCUUCUGUGGACUUGGUAAUCUAGGAUCUUUGGGCAAAUUCAUCAUUUAAAAGGAUUUUUUUUUUCCAGUGUUAUGUGCCAUUUACAUUGUAGAAUCUUGAUACUUGCAAUUAUGGUGUCAUAUAACUUCCGUUCCAUGAUACUUGCAGGAUUGGCAAAACGUAGUCAUGAACCGAAGCUUGCAGAAGCCAGAGACUUAUCUGACUACUCAUCCAAUAGAAGUGAGGAACUUGUGCAAUGUAAUUCUAAAUGCUUUAUUUUGAGGCUGAACAUAGAGAAGAGUUGCAAACGUCUGCUUUGUGCAAAGAGAAACUCAAGAGAGUAGUAUCCAUUGUUGCAGUGGAAUCCCGGUGCAAAACAGAUAACUUGCAGCUUGAAGUGAAAGCCUUACAGACGAGGUGCUUUGGAGUAGAAAUGCUGCCAACAAGCUGCACAUGAAAUUGUUAGGAGUUUUGAAUGGAUUCACUGUGGAAGAAUUUGAAUUUUGGUUUCAGGAGUCACAGAUGAAGAUUAGCUAUCUAGAGUAGACCAUUGUAGAUACUGCUGAUGUCUGCAGAAGAAGGUUGGUCCCUUUGAUGGAGUUUAAGAACUGCUGAUAAUUAGCUUGAAGACAAGCAAAAUGGUAUUCACACACUAAAUGAAUCUAAAAAGGCUUUUUUGGUUAAGUUUGAUCUUUAUUUGUUGAAAGAAGUUUGGCGGUUUGACCAGAAGUAAAACUCACCAAGUGG
This 935-nucleotide long non-coding RNA is filed under the name Elaeis guineensis (African oil palm). RNAcentral's name for it is "long non-coding RNA (EGUI_LNC001940)". The record is from RNAcentral. Lineage: Eukaryota; Viridiplantae; Streptophyta; Magnoliopsida; Arecales; Arecaceae.